Molecule: ribosomal RNA, 78 nt
Filed under: uncultured bacterium
Lineage: Bacteria
Description: partial 16S ribosomal RNA
Source: RNAcentral
AAAGUGGGCUGUGCUAGAAGCGGCUGAGCCAACUCGCAAGAGAGGCAGGUCGCCACGGCAUGGUCCAUGAUUGGGGUG